This is a non-coding RNA of Leptonychotes weddellii (Weddell seal), 498 nucleotides long. The record is from RefSeq and is a predicted model, not a curated record. NCBI's taxonomy places the organism in Eukaryota, Metazoa, Chordata, Mammalia, Carnivora, Phocidae.
GAGCGGCCGCGCCCCCCGCGCUGCCACCCCGCGAGCCCGCAUCAUGGAUGUCGGGCUCUCCUAUUUCGCUUUGCUCGCCUUGGAAUUCGAGACUCCAGACGAGGACCAGGAUUCAUGAGCCGGUCGCAGGGGCCCAGGCAGGGGCCUCUGGCUCCCGACGCUGGCCGAGAGGUGAUGAGUGAGGUCGGAAGAUCGCAAGAUUUAAAAAAGCAACCGGGUCCUCCGUAUUGAAUGAAAGACCCAGUGCAAAGGCAUCACCAUGAACACGAGCAUUCCUUAUCAGCAGAAUCCUUACAAUCCCCGAGGCAGCUCCAAUGUCAUCCAGUGCUACCGGUGUGGAGACACCUGCAAAGGGGAAGUGGUCCGUGUCCACAAUAACCACUUCCACAUCAGAUGCUUCACCUGUCAAGAUUUGUUCUCAUGAAGUUUGCUGAAUACUGCAUGUGUGCUGUUCCCUGUGGCUGCCGUUCACCUACUUGUAGUCAGGUCUCCCCACGC